This 366-nucleotide unclassified non-coding RNA is filed under the name soil metagenome. Its description in RNAcentral is "partial contains 5.8S ribosomal RNA, internal transcribed spacer 2, and large subunit ribosomal RNA". The stretch from base 1 to 120 matches the Rfam family "5.8S ribosomal RNA", at positions 35 to 154 of the family's 154-position model. The record is from RNAcentral.
GAUGAAGAACGUAGCGAAAUGCGAUAAGUAGUGUGAAUUGCAGAAUUACCUGAAUCAUCGAAUCUUUGAACGCACAUUGCGCCCCCUGGUAUUCCUGGGGGCAUGCCUGUUCGAGCGUCAUUAACAACCAAUCGGGCGGGGCUUUUGCAUGCUCCCGCUCGGCCAUGGGGGAUGGACGUCGUCGGACGCCCACCCCCGAAAUGCAACGGCGGACGGCCACCCGUGGCACUGCGGCGUAGUAAGUUAACCCUUCGCGCGCGCCCACGGAGUGGACUGCGCGGCCGCUUGAACCCCCACACAUCCUACGGUUGACCUCGGAUCAGGUAGGGAUACCCGCUGAACUUAAGCAUAUCAAUAAGCGGAGGA